CAUACACAUAUAUAUAUAUGUGUGUGUGUAUGUGUGUGUGUGUGCAUGUAUGUAUGUAUGUAUGUAUAUAUAUCAUAUUCCACUGUAGGUUUUGAGACUUCAGUGUCUAAAUGUGACUAUCUCAAAGAUGAAUGUGAAAUCAAAGUGUGAAUCCAGUCUCCAAGUAUGACUCCAAUCUACAAGAGUGAUGUCAGAGGGCAUGCAGUGUGACUUCAGUCUACAAACGCAAGACAGGCCUUCAGGAGAGACUUCAAUUGCAUGUAGGAGCAUUCCAGAAUCCGUCUUGGAAUGCCACACUCCCAACACGAAUUGAAAGCAGGAGAUGAGAUUGGGCUCCGGAUAUCACAUCGGGAUUUUGGCGUCCAUUUGGCCCUGAAAAUAUACCCGAAUGUCAGCCGGGCUUCAGUCAUCAUUUCAAGCCAUCAAGCUUGAAGUCUGAGAAAGUCUGAAGCGUCUUACGCCAGCCUAUGAAACCACAUUUCAGGUUUACACUCUUUUGCCUGGAAUCUUGCACCGUAGUUACCCUGAAGUCUGAAAUUCUGUUUCCCUUCUGGUCCCUAACGCUUCUACAAAGUCAUCCUCGAGGAGUCAUCCCAGGGUGGUUGAAGAACGUUACUCCUUCACUCGAACUGAAAUGCCAUACUUAAGCCUGAGACAUCACACUUAAAGUGUGUGUGUGUGUGUGUGUGUGUGUGUGUGUAUGUCUGUGUGUGUGUUCUUUUCAAUAUGUUUCUGUAUUUCGAAUUUAUUUUUUUAUGUAAUAAAUCUUAAAUUUUAGAAA
Molecule: long non-coding RNA, 781 nt
Organism: Penaeus indicus
Lineage: Eukaryota; Metazoa; Arthropoda; Malacostraca; Decapoda; Penaeidae
Exons: 2
Source: RefSeq, a predicted model, not a curated record